CCUACGGGAGGCAGCAGUGAGGAAUAUUGGUCAAUGGACGAGAGUCUGAUCCAGCCAAGUAGCGUGAAGGAUGACUGCCCUCUGGGUUUUAAACUUCUUUUAUAUGGGGAUAGACCGUUCCACGUAUGGGCUUUUGUAUGUACCAUAUGAGUAAGGAUCGGCUAACUCCGUGCCAGCAGCCGCGGUAAUACGGAGGAUCCGAGCGUUAUCCGGAUUUAUUGGGUUUAAAGGGAGCGUAGGCGGGUUGUUAAGUCAGUUGUGAAAGUUUGCGGCUCAACCGGAAAAUUGCAGUUGAAACUGGCAGGCUUGAGUACAGUAGAGGUGGGUGGAAUUCGUGGUGUAGCGGUGAAAUGCUUAGAUAUCACGAAGAACUCCGAUUGCGAAGGCAGUUCACUGGACUGCAACUGACACUGAGGUUCGAAAGUGUGGGUAGCAAACAGGAUUAGAUACCCCUGUAGUC
Molecule: ribosomal RNA, 460 nt
Filed under: uncultured bacterium
Lineage: Bacteria
Description: partial 16S ribosomal RNA
Rfam family: Bacterial small subunit ribosomal RNA
Source: RNAcentral